CGCAACGCCACGGCCGAGGAGCUGCGCCGCGCCUUCCUGAUGCCGGCCCCCACGCCGUCGUCCAGCCCGGUGCCCACGCUGGCGGCUGAGCAGCAGGAGAUGCUGGCGGCCUUCGCCCUGCAGUCCGGGAUGAACCUCGAGUGGUCCCAGAAGUGAGCGGCCGCCCCCUACCGCCCAGUUACCGCCCAGUUACCGCCCAGUGCAUCCCAGUUAUCUCCAAGUUACCUCCCAGUACAUCCCAGUUACCGCCCAGUGCCUCCCAGUUAUCUCCGAGUUACCUCCCAGUACAUCCCAGUUACCGCCCAGUGCCUCCCAGUUACCGCCCAGUUACCGCCCAGUGCCUCCCAGUUAUCUCCGAGUUACCUCCCAGUACAUCCCAGUUACCGCCCAGUGCCUCCCAGUUACCGCCCAGUUACCUCCCAGUACAUGCCAGUGCCUCCCAGUUAUCUCCGAGUUACCUCCCAGUACAUCCCAGUACAUCCCAGUACAUCCCAGUUACCGCCCAGUUACCGCCCAGUGCAUCCCAGUACAUCCCAGUUACCGCCCAGUUACCGCCCAGUGCCUCCCAGUACAUCCCAGUUACCGCCCAGUGCCUCCCAGUACAUCCCAGUUACCGCCCAGUUACCUCCCAGUGCCUCCCAGUACAUCCCAGUACAUCCCAGUUACCUCCCAAUGCCUCCCAGUACAUCCCAGUUACCGCCCAGUUACCUCCUAGUACAUCCCAGUUACCACCCAGUUACUUCCCAGUACAUCCCAGUACAUCCCAGUUACCGCCCAGUUACCUCCCAGUACCUCCAAAUAGAUCCCAGUUACCACCCAGUUACCUCCCAGUGCCUCCCAGUUACCUCCCAGUACAUCCCAGUACAUCCCAGUUACCUCCCAAUUACCUCCCAGUACAUCCCAGUACCUCCCAGUAGCUCUCCAUACCUCCCAGUUACCCCCAGUUACCUCCCAGUUAUCACCCAGUAGCUCCCAGUAGCUCCCAGUUACCUCCUAGUGCCUCCCAGUUACCCUGAGUAGCUCCCAGUUACCUCCCAGUUACCUCCCAGUGCCACCCAGUAACCCCCAAACCCCCACCAGUGCCUUCCAGUAACUCCCAGUUACCCCCACAGGUGCCUGCAGGACAACGACUGGGAUUACGGCCGGGCCGGGCAGGUCUUCACCCAGCUCAAGGUGGGAC
Molecule: long non-coding RNA, 1180 nt
Filed under: Meleagris gallopavo (turkey)
Lineage: Eukaryota; Metazoa; Chordata; Aves; Galliformes; Phasianidae
Description: lncRNA (ENSMGAG00000019059.1)
Source: RNAcentral